Molecule: long non-coding RNA, 1766 nt
Organism: Ornithodoros turicata
Lineage: Eukaryota; Metazoa; Arthropoda; Arachnida; Ixodida; Argasidae
Exons: 4
Source: RefSeq, a predicted model, not a curated record
CGAACUUGUGUGGUUCCCGGCUCAUCCUGCCUUUUUCGGGUCAUUGGGUUGGUGUUGGAGUUGUUCGCCAUAUUCUGAACGUUUCACCUAUCAUUGCGGCGUACUGUUCUUGAUCUGCUGCGAGGCAACGAACCGCAACGGCAGUCACUCGCCUCAGCGAAAUUCUGUCUGCUGCAUAUCAAAGGAGCAUCGGGACCUGAUGAUGUACUCCAAAUGCUGAAGUUGAAUUCUUUGUACCUUCAUCUAAAGAAACCAAGUGUGCUCUCGUGUGGUUCUGACGGAAAAGCAGUUUCAACAAGAACCCUCCGCUUCAUGAACCCAGUUAUACUUUAUGUGACCCUUCUGAUGGCUCCUUACUGUAGGCUGUGCCGCUCUGAAGCAUUGAGAUGACGAAAGGUCGUGGGUGCUGCACCUCUACUUUCGAAAGAACCGGUACCGGAUCGUUUAUGAUAUAACUGGAACGAAAACCGGAACGAAAAACGUUUCGGUUCGACACCCUGCCUGGACUGCCUUUUUCAAGGAAGUUCGAAAUAGCAUCCCUUAUGCACCUGCAUUUCAAUUAAGAUCUGUGUUACAAGAAUGACAGACCACUCAACAGCGAUGAACAUUUGAAGGUGGAAGUGCUGGAACGAAGAUGCGUUAAUCUGUGUGAAAGGUGCUUUGAAAGGGCAUAGGUCGCAAGCUAAUUUCUGUCUGCAGAAGAGGUGUCAACUAUGCUCCUUCUAUCUACUAACCAGCUCCACUUUUUAGGGUUCCCUGUAGACAAAUGGAGCAUACCAUAUACCAGCACGUUGUUAACCAUGUUGAGUCUAUCAAUUUCUUUUUUUAAAUUCCAGCAUGGCUUUAGAAAAGGGUAUUUAGGCAAAACUAACAUAAUUCGGUCACAGCAUUUUAAACUGUCUUGAUUUCUUGGUCCACGUAGGUGCAGUAUUUUUUUAUUUUAUGAGGGCUUUUGACACUGCUCGCUUUUUGUCCAAACUAGCCUCAUUAAAAUUUGAUCCUUUUACCAUUAACUGGAUAUGCAGUUCCUUGAUUAACCGCAACCGUGUCAACAAUUCGUGAGGAGAACCUAUCAUAUCGCCACCAUGCAGCGUUUGUCACAUUACAUUUGCAUCACAUUUUAACCUAGUGUGAAGCAAGGCCUUCAGGUGAUCGGUCUUGUAUAAUUACACGCCCCUUCGUUAUGUAAAACCACACGGUCCUACAUCCUAUGACAGAUAAAUAAAUCUAUUGCCAAGUAAAUUGUUUACAAGGCUCAUUACCCCCUUUCACCACAUUACCGCAAGCAAUUGUUAGAGUAGUGGCCCAGGGUAUGAAGCUCGCCACAUCAUUCAAACAAGGUUCAUAAUGUAGAAUACUUUACUGAAAACACCGACUUAACACAAAGAUUGAUAACAAAGAGAGUGAACGUUUCAUUGCCUAUCCGGGUGGCAUCAUCGCUACAACAGAGAACAGUCAAAAACAACAUUGAAGGAGUCAAAUCAGUGGUGUGCGUUCCUUUUAUCCAAGGUGUUUCAUAUGCCAUUUGAAGGGCACUCUGCCCAUCAGGCAUUAAGACUUUGCAUAUAAAGUUAAGUGCAUAGCCUGUGAUGCCACCUACAUUGGCGAGACAGACAAAAGACGUGGGACAAGACUAAAAGACCACACAAGGGACGUUGCCAAGGCUUCUAAUGUUACUCAAACCAGGACCGAACCCUGUGUGCGCGCUGUGUUUUUAGCGACUUCAAUGCAGGACCAAACCAAUUUUGAGUGCCUAAAUUUUAACA